GUUCAAGUCCCUCUAUCCCCAG
RNAcentral lists this transfer RNA (22 nucleotides) under Grammitis wattsii. Its description in RNAcentral is "partial tRNA-Leu". Lineage: Eukaryota; Viridiplantae; Streptophyta; Polypodiopsida; Polypodiales; Polypodiaceae. The record is from RNAcentral.